UGGGGAAUAUUGCACAAUGGGCGCAAGCCUGAUGCAGCCAUGCCGCGUGUGUGAAGAAGGCCUUCGGGUUGUAAAGCACUUUCAGCGAGGAGGAAGGUGGUGAGCUUAAUACGCUCAUCAAUUGACGUUACUCGCAGAAGAAGCACCGGCUAACUCCGUGCCAGCAGCCGCGGUAAUACGGAGGGUGCAAGCGUUAAUCGGAAUUACUGGGCGUAAAGCGCACGCAGGCGGUUUGUUAAGUCAGAUGUGAAAUCCCCGGGCUCAACCUGGGAACUGCAUUUGAAACUGGCAAGCUAGAGUCUCGUAGAGGGGGGUAGAAUUCCAGGUGUAGCGGUGAAAUGCGUAGAGAUCUGGAGGAAUACCGGUGGCGAAGGCGGCCCCCUGGACGAAGACUGACGCUCAGGUGCGAAAGCGUGGGGCAGCAAACAGGAUUAGAUACCCUGGUAGUCCAGCGCUGUAAAACGAUGUCGAUUUGGAGGUUGUGCCCUUGAGGCGUGGCUUCCGGAGCUAACGCGUUAAAUCGACCGCCUGGGGAGUACGGCCGCAAGGUUAAAACUUAAAUGAAUUGAC
RNAcentral lists this ribosomal RNA (570 nucleotides) under uncultured bacterium. RNAcentral's name for it is "partial 16S ribosomal RNA". It matches the Rfam family "Bacterial small subunit ribosomal RNA", at positions 355 to 914 of the family's 1533-position model. The record is from RNAcentral.